Molecule: long non-coding RNA, 932 nt
Organism: Daphnia carinata
Lineage: Eukaryota; Metazoa; Arthropoda; Branchiopoda; Diplostraca; Daphniidae
Exons: 2
Source: RefSeq, a predicted model, not a curated record
ACACACACACACACACACACACACACAUAACCUUCACAUUUACACGCUAGAGAAACAAAUGCUGAUUCAAAUAAUCCGCUUACCAUCGCUCGUUAAUUACACGACAGGAAAAAGCAAAACAAAAAAGAAUAGGAAAAACAAAACAAAAAAUGCGUUCGUUCAGAUGCUUCGUUUGUUAUCGAAUUCGGUUUAUUUGUUGUUGUUUGUUGUUGGUGUGGUUUCCCCUCCCCUCUCUUUUUGUUGUGUUUAAUGUUUAAUUACCGCCGAGGGCUCGUUUUUUUACUACCUCAAAAGCCCAAAAUUGGGUUCAUAGUUUCAGGAUUCUUGUUUUCUUUUUGGUUUUUUUUUUUUUUUUCCUCAAUCUUUCCUUCUUCUUUUUUUUUUUCUUCUUCUCUCAUCUUGUCUCGAAUUAAUUAGCAGUUUUGUUGCACAGCGUAUCCCAAUUUUGGUUUCUUUUUCCUGAUGUUCUUCAUCUCUUCAUUCGCCAGUUAUCUGACUGCAGUGUAUGUUUAUUGGGUUUCACACAACGAUUUUUUUUUUCUUUCUCCCGUUCGUCCGUGUCUUCUUUUUAUGUUUGCGUUUUUGAUUUUUGUUCCCUGCCUUUGUUACCUUUUCUUUUUCUCUCCCCGCAACACUUAUUCGAAUUUCAUUUGUUGUUUGUGUUCAAGUAUUGUUCGCAUUUUGUAAUUCGGUUCAAAAAAUGAAUUUCGUUCAUCAUCCACAUCAUCAUCAUCCCUGAUGGAUAGCAUCGAGGUGCCAAAACGAGCAAAAAGAAAAAAAAGAAGCGUUAGCCUACAAAAUGGCGGCGUGUAUUGUCAGCAAUAGACUUCUCCAAUCUUUAUACCAUUUUGUUUAUUUUCAAUUUCUUUAUGGUUUUUCUUUAUUUUGAUUUUCUCAAUCGUGAAACUGAAAUAGAAAUAAUAUCAAAUUGA